AUUGAACGCUGGCGGCAGGCCUAACACAUGCAAGUCGAACGGUAACAGGAAACAGCUUGCUGUUUCGCUGACGAGUGGCGGACGGGUGAGUAAUGUCUGGGAAACUGCCUGAUGGAGGGGGAUAACUACUGGAAACGGUAGCUAAUACCGCAUAACGUCGCAAGACCAAAGAGGGGGACCUUCGGGCCUCUUGCCAUCGGAUGUGCCCAGAUGGGAUUAGCUAGUAGGUGGGGUAACGGCUCACCUAGGCGACGAUCCCUAGCUGGUCUGAGAGGAUGACCGUCCACACUGGAACUGAGACACGGUCCAGACUCCUACGGGAGGCAGCAGUGGGGAAUAUUGCACAAUGGGCGCAAGCCUGAUGCAGCCAUGCCGCGUGUAUGAAGAAGGCCUUCGGGUUGUAAAGUACUUUCAGCGGGGAUGAAGGGAGUAAAGUUAAUACCUUUGCUCAUUGACGUUACCCGCAGAAGAAGCACCGGCUAACUCCGUG
Molecule: ribosomal RNA, 490 nt
Filed under: uncultured bacterium
Lineage: Bacteria
Description: partial 16S ribosomal RNA
Rfam family: Bacterial small subunit ribosomal RNA
Source: RNAcentral